This 439-nucleotide ribosomal RNA is filed under the name uncultured bacterium. Its description in RNAcentral is "partial 16S ribosomal RNA". It matches the Rfam family "Bacterial small subunit ribosomal RNA", at positions 338 to 795 of the family's 1533-position model. The record is from RNAcentral.
CCUACGGGGGCAGCAGUGGGGAAUAUUGCACACUGGUGGAAACCCUGAUGCAGCGACGCCGCGUGAGUGAAGAAGUAUUUCGGUAUGUAUAGCUCUAUCAGCAGGGAAGAAAAUGACGGUACCUGAUUUAGAAGCCCCGGCUAACUACGUGCCAGCAGCCGCGGUAAUACGUAGGGGGCAAGCGUUAUCCGGAUUUACUGGGUGUAAAGGGAGCGUAGACGGCAAGACAAGCCAGAAGUGAAGGGGCAGGGCUCAACCCUGUACAUGCUUUUGGGACUGUGGUGCUAGAGUGCAGGAGAGGUAAGUGGAAUUCCUAGUGUAGCGGUGAAAUGCGUAGAUAUUAGGAGGAACACCAGUGGCGAAGGCGGCUUACUGGACUGUAACUGACGUUGAGGCUCGAAAGCGUGGGGAGCAAACAGGAUUAGAUACCCGAGUAGUC